This 4988-nucleotide long non-coding RNA is filed under the name Sus scrofa (pig). Its description in RNAcentral is "lncRNA (ENSSSCG00000054151.1)". Lineage: Eukaryota; Metazoa; Chordata; Mammalia; Artiodactyla; Suidae. The record is from RNAcentral.
GGCUAAAGUGAACAGAAUUGAUGUUUCGAGGGCCCUCAAAUAUAUGGCCAUUUCCCUCCAUACCACACCUGAUGAAUUUAUGGCCAUGUGGAAAGUUUUUUUAAAAAUGUUUUAAAGCUUCUGGAAAUUAGAAAGAAACUAAUUACCACCUCUAGUUCUUAAAAGCAAAGAACUACUAAGAGGUGUUACUUGGAAAACAAAAUCAGCAAGAAUGAACCCUCUAGAAGGAAUAGUAAAUUAAGCAUCCAUAGGUACUUUUUUUUUUUUUGUCUUUUUUUUGUUGUUGUUGUUGUUGUUGAUAUAUUGUUGCUAUUUCUUGGGCCGCUCCCGCGGCAUAUGGAGGUUCCCAGGCUAGGGGUUGAAUCGGAGCUGUAGCCACCGGCCUACGCCAGAGCCACAGCCACGCGGGAUCCGAGCCGAGUCUGCAACCUACACCACAGCUCACGGCAACGCCGGAUCGUUAACCCACUGAGCAAGGGCAGGGACCGAACCCGCAACCUCAUGGUUCCUAGUCGGAUUCGUUAACCACUGCGCCACGACAGGAACUCCCCAUAGGUACUUUUUUCUGGGGAUUUCAUCAAUUCUGGGCCCAAAGAGAGUUGAAAUCUAAGUUUGGCUUAGGCAGAAGUCUGCUGCAGGGCACAGAAAAGGCAACAAAGCUUUUGGUGGUCAUUUGCCCUUGGAGUGUAAGAAUUUAGAGACAAGCUUUUAGCGUGUGGUUCAUCAUACUUCAGUAUAUUUUGAAUACAUUGAAAAUAUAGUUUCAGUAAAAUUUUGAAGUACAUAGUGGGUGAGGGAAGCUACAGAUUAACCUUUGUCUUUCCGAGUGGAGAAAGGGAAGGCUUAUAAAACUAUCGUGAUUAAGACUGUGUCAUUAUCAUAAGCAAAGCCAUAUUCAGCAAUGAAACAGAAUAGCGAAUAGUCCAGAAACAGACUUUAUGCAUGGUCACCUGACAUAUGAUCCAUUUUCUUGUUCUACCCAAGAUUCUAAAUUUAUUUGUUAGAUUAAGCUCAAAAAUCAUGGUAUUUAAGAAUCUUAGAUGCUUGGUUUUUUGAUCAAAAGAGUUUCUGAGACAAGUAUAUUAAAAUCACCCUCUCUGAUAAUGAUUUUGGUAAAGUUUUCUUUAUAAUUACAUCAUACUGAGUUUUAUAUAUUUUGGAGGUAAUUUGGGUAGGAAUAUAUUAGUUCGUAAUUGUCCAUUUCUUUAUCCUUCCAUGUUAUGGCCGGGUAGAUUUUCUCAGUGCUAUCUUCCAAGACACUAUUUUUUUCUUUAGAAUAUCCUAUUAUUUUAAAAAUUCUUUUAUUUCAGUUCUAAUUUUCUAAUGGUUUUUAAUGUCUACCUUUAAUCUUUCAAAGCUUCUAAUUCUUCCAUGAUGUUCAUUCCUCCUUUGGCUCUUUGAGAAUUUUAAACAUGCAGUAUUUGUUUGAAAGUCUUUUCCAAAUACCUCAAUCAUCUCUACAUUGUCGGGAGUAAAUAGUCCCAUCUGUUGGUUCUCUUGACUUCCUUUCUUGGCACUGGAAUCCUCAGACACUUUUCUUUGUCUUCCCUCCCUUUCCAUAUCCUAUUGGAUUGAUCAAGCUUUCUUGACUCCGCCUUGUCUUAUGCUCCCUUGGGUUGGAAGUUUUUAUUUUUGAGGUGGUUAAAUUUUUAACAUACAUGAAUAAUUUUAAAAUCCAAGUAGUGUUAUCUCCACAUUCAUAAAGGAUUCAAGUCACUUCAAAAUUACCUUGGAACCCUCACCAACUUUCCUCAUAUCAUAAACAAGUAGAACACUGGAUAAUAGACAUGCGAUAACAGUUUUCAAAAUAGCACUGUGUUCCUUGAGAGAAAGGAAAGAAACACAAUGAGACCAGUGAGCAUCCUGGCUUUCCCCGUGGAGACAUUUUCUAUCCUGAAGCACAGAAGAGAAACCCAAGCAGAACUUGGUGGCUUUGCUCAGUUGGAAGAGACAGAGGUUGAAGUACUGGAAGCUGAUGCAGCUGGAAUUUGAUGGGCAGAGUACAGCAAGAGACAAAACUGCAGAUGGAAAGAGCUGUAUAAUCUGCAUAGGGGUCCUCGUAAAUAUUUCUCUCAAUGCUAAGCUGCAUAGAUAGAGUAGGGUGCCAUGGGGGCAGUCAAAGGACAACUAUUGGAGAUGUGUCAGUUGAAUAAUUCCAAAAGCUCAUAUGGAUUUGGGAGAAUUUUAAGUUUCAACCAGCUAGAGAGAACAGAUAAGAUUGAUAACCCAGUUCCCCAGUAUAUUUUUGUUUCAUUAAUAAUGACUUUUAAUAAAGUAGCAUACACUUAGAACUGUCAUAAUUGCAAGGGUUCCACUGUGUCUCCUUUGUUCUUGUGUACCAUUAAUAAAAUGGUGAGCACUGGUGAAAGGGCCAACUUCAAAUACAUCCAUUCCUCUGAUCUCUGUUGCCAUCUGUAUGCGAUGAGUCCUAAAUCUUGUAUAACUUCUGUCUACAUUCAGCUGUCUAUUGGACAUCUUCACUCAGAAGCAUCUCAAAUGUAUCGAACUCAUUAAAUCAUGCGAGAAUGAGUUAUGGUGACUACAGUGCUGUAAUAUAUAAUUUACUAAUUGUUUUAUAUGUUGAUUUUUUUCUAACUACACUGAAAAUUUUUGAGGUCAUUAUCUGGGUUGUAACCUGGCUUUGUCUCAUCCUGCGUCCCCUUGAGCAAUGUUUGGUUUUCUCACUUACAUACUGAGGAUACAUACUUUUCAGAUGUGUUUGAGAACGAAAAUUUCAGAGAGCUAGGGUAUGUUCAGUGCUUUAAAAAUCUGUAAAGGGUUAUGAAAGUAUAAGGUAUUACUACAUAUCUGCAACCCCAACAGAACUUCCCCCACACUCCUCUUCAGUCCCCACACCCAUGAUGGCACAAGGCACAGAGAGGAUGCUCAAUAAAUGGGUGGAUACCGAUGGACUAUUUAGAACUGGUUUGAUGAGACUGAGGGGACACUAAACCAAGAAUAAGGGGACAUGCCUUUGCUGUCAUCUGUGCCGCUAACUUCCUAUAGAAGCGCAGGCACUCUCCUUACCUCUUUGAACUUUUCUUUCUUUUUUUUUUUAAACUCAGAUACUCUCUAAGAAUCCUUUCUGUCCCCAUGUUAGUCCUGUUUGUCCUGCAUUAUAGAUCCCCAAGUGAGAUCCCUGAGACUCUUCCAACCCUAUGUCCUACUUUUACUGCCCUAAAUAAACAUUCUACUGACCUCAUAUUUUCUACUUUCUCUGCCCUCUCAGGGGAGGCUGCAGAGUGGUAGUGGAUUCUCCAUUGAAAUCUCUGCCACAAAAGGAAAACAAAUGUGUUUUCCCUAUCAUCCCACUGAAUUCUCCGGCAGUGCUCAUCCUGGCCUUUCAGGGUCCAUUCCUCAUAGUGGACACUUGAGGAAGCACAGUCAGUUGGCUAUUUUUUAAGCUAGUCAACAAGUUUCUUGACUUCGAAAGUUGCUUUUCUCUUUCUUCUGUCAACAGGGAGGGGCUGGGACCUGUUUCUCCCCUAGGGAUGGGGUGCUGUCCAUGUCUGCCUUUACAGACUAACCCCUCAAGGCUCAUAUUUGGCUCCAUCCAAGCUUGGCCGUGUCCACCUAGAUGGCCACUGACCAACUUCCUGUCUGACUUCUAUUUGUACUCAAAGAGGAAACGAGGGUCCCACAGGCAAAACCUCUUCCACUUCUGGGGCUGCUUCCAAAAAUAAAGUUACUGUAAUACCCAAAACACCAGGCACAGGAGAGAGCAGUCACAGUUGUUCACUGGCCUUCCACCUCCUGGUGGCCAUCAGCCAGCGAGCUGCAGGGCUGCUGAAGGCUGCGUGAUGAAAUGUGGUCCCCAGGGUCCUCUCUCUGACAUUUUUAGACUCACCAUAAAAUAAACUGCCUCAGGAUGCCACCUCCCUCCAGCCCCUCCUAGGGCCUUCAGAGGGCACUGGUGACAUACAGAUGGCCCUUGAACUUUCCUCUCACAACUGCUGUUUCCUAGCAGUUCUGCUUUGGAACUUUUCCCAUGGGCUUCAAAAGUAUCCUUCUCUGCUCUGUUUUUAAAUUCAAAAGCUAUAAACAUUUUUUUUUUCAUUUACAGGCAAAACACUUUUUUCCGUGGAUAUAAUUUCUCCUCCCUUCUCCUGUAUCUCCAUCAUCUGUCUUUACCACCUCUUUCUUUUUUCUUGCUCUCAAGCAUUACCUACAUUCGGGAUGUGAAACUCUUUAAAGAGGAAUGAAAAGAGGUAGAAAAGUUCAUUGGAAAAAGAAAAAAAGAGCACUGCAUUUAGAUCUUGGCCCCAAGAUGCCAGCCUUCCAAGAAAUCCAGGUUCUUUGCUGCUGAGUGUCAUAGUGACGUUAACCCAAUAGUGUCUGCACCCAAACUCAGGGCCCCACCCCCUUUUAAACCUGACAACAGCUUCCCUGUUAUUCUUCAUGAGCAGACACAGAAUGCUCUUUGGGGAUCUAGACCUAGGAAUUUGAAACACAUACCUUUCUGUUGUUGAUGGCAGGUUGGAGAUGGUGUAGGGUGGCAGGGCUUGGGGUGACACAUGUACAGAGAGAUGAAAAUUGACUAGUGCUUCCUGAAAGAGGGUUGAAUGUACCAGAAUUAGCCAGAAGACUGAGUGGUCUGGUGUGGCUGAAAUGCUGCAAUAAUGGAGAGAAAUGACGAAUUUAUCUUCGUAGGGGAACUUUCUGUACCACAGUAUUCACUACUCAGUUGUUGGAUGGUUUUGUUGCAUUGUGUUGUUCAUUUUAUAAGAAAACUAUAACCAGAAAGUGAGCCCUUUUAGAGAAAGGGUUAGGGCUGCUGUUUCCUUGUAGCCUUCUAAGCUAGACAGAGAAAAUGUGCUUAAACUUUAGCAUAUAACUCUCUAUCCACAUCACAAAGUAUUUUUCUGGUAAAAGUUAAAGAGAGAUUUUCUAGGAGUUCCUGCUGUGGCCCAACAGGAUCGGUGGUAUCUCUGGAGCCCUGGGAUCCAGGUUCAGCCCCUGGCCCAGCAUAGUGGGUUAAGGAUUGGGUG